Molecule: long non-coding RNA, 212 nt
Organism: Lagopus muta (rock ptarmigan)
Lineage: Eukaryota; Metazoa; Chordata; Aves; Galliformes; Phasianidae
Exons: 3
Source: RefSeq, a predicted model, not a curated record
AGAUCUUCUGCUCUCUUACUAUAUUAAUCUGCGUGCUGUGUUUACGUGGUACUAAUGCUGCAGUUGUAUCAAGGAAACUUGGUUUACAUAUACAUGAAAUACAGCCUGAGAUGAUGGACAUGAGACACUGGGUGAUACAUGGGAAUUAAUAAGAAACAUCAAGCUGAUUGUUUUAAGGACCGGACAUGAAGAGGGCAAAAAAACCCCAAAAA